GCCACCAGCCUCUCUUUCUUUGUUCUCCUUUCAAUAUGACUCUGGCUGCGAUCUUCUAUUUAUAAAGUAGUUUAAUAAUUAGAGUAAAUCAAGAAAAGGGACAGGUAAGUAGGAAUAGGAGACCCUUGCUUCUCCGCUGAGCCAAGAUGGCUCAACUUCAGCUUCAGCUUAUCUAUCUUUUUCUUAGCUAGUCACUAUCUCUAUCCUACUAAAGAAAAGGCAAGUGUCCUUCUUGGGAAAGUCAAGGGAUGGAAAGGAUCUUCAGGGUGACCCCCUGAAGUUAAGGGAUCAACCCCUUUCAGCAGCUGUAGUUAUUUUGUUCUUCCUCUAAUGGGUGCUCUUUAACAUACAAGAACCUUCUUCUUCUUCUUCAGGGUAAGGGAAAUGAAGUGAUUCAGUCUCUAAGAAAAGCCAAAUAUACCCUAUGGACACUCACCACUGCCUACAACUCUGUCAGCCUGAACAAGAAUGACUGGGACAUCUGCUGUUUGCAGCAAGACUCCAGGGACGAUAGAGUGGGGGGAGUAGUAAGCAAAUUUAUUGUGUUCUAAUAUAAUUGCUCAAACAACCUGGAAAAGCAUUGAAAACUUGAAACCACCCAGAGCAUUUAGUUUCAAUCCCUGCUGAAGACCCAGUUUGAUGAAGUAAGAAUUAAAUCCACAAAUAUAAAACACUGCAAUAGGUAAUCAGAUUUCUUCCUGCUGCUAUGAAAAAUAAUGUUGUGAUAGGGAAUAUGAUUAACCCCCUCAAAAAUCUAAUUUAACUUUUUUUUAAAAUGGCUGAUUAACAGAUCUGCCGAAGGAAGCAGAAGUAGCAGCAGCUUUAGUUCUUGAAAAAUCGACUCCCUUAACACCAUAGGACUUUAUAGAUCAGGAAAGUCAGUAAAACUAGAGGCAUACUUGGGACAGUGUCCCUGUUUGAUAAAAAGUCCCUUGACUUAAAGUCAGAAGACAUGAGUUCAAGUUUUGAUUCUGAUAUCUAUCAGGUGUGAGGUUUUGGACAAAGAAUUUAAACGGUCCCUUGUUUCCUCAGUGG
This 1035-nucleotide long non-coding RNA is filed under the name Monodelphis domestica (gray short-tailed opossum). Its description in RNAcentral is "lncRNA (ENSMODG00000038859.1)". Lineage: Eukaryota; Metazoa; Chordata; Mammalia; Didelphimorphia; Didelphidae. The record is from RNAcentral.